AGUGAACGCUGGCGGUAGGCCUAACACAUGCAAGUCGAACGGCAGCACAGUAAGAGCUUGCUCUUACGGGUGGCGAGUGGCGGACGGGUGAGGAAUACAUCGGAAUCUACUUUUUCGUGGGGGAGAACGUAGGGAAACUUACGCUAAUACCGCAUACGACCUACGGGUGAAAGCAGGGGAUCUUCGGACCUUGCGCGAUUGAAUGAGCCGAUGUCGGAUUAGCUAGUUGGCGGGGUAAAGGCCCACCAAGGCGACGAUCCGUAGCUGGUCUGAGAGGAUGAUCAGCCACACUGGAACUGAGACACGGUCCAGACUCCUACGGGAGGCAGCAGUGGGGAAUAUUGGACAAUGGGCGUAAGCCUGAUCCAGCCAUACCGCGUGGGUGAAGAAGGCCUUCGGGUUGUAAAGCCCUUUUGUUGGGAAAGAAAAGCAGCAGGUUAAUACCCCGCUGUUCUGACGUUACCAAAAGAAUAAGCACCGGCUAACUUCGUG
This 492-nucleotide ribosomal RNA is filed under the name uncultured bacterium. RNAcentral's name for it is "partial 16S ribosomal RNA". It matches the Rfam family "Bacterial small subunit ribosomal RNA", at positions 29 to 507 of the family's 1533-position model. The record is from RNAcentral.